RNAcentral lists this ribosomal RNA (1000 nucleotides) under uncultured organism. RNAcentral describes it as "bacterial SSU rRNA". It matches the Rfam family "Bacterial small subunit ribosomal RNA", at positions 355 to 1375 of the family's 1533-position model. The record is from RNAcentral.
UGGGGGAUAUUGCGCAAUGGGGGCAACCCUGACGCAGCAACGCCGCGUGAAGGAUGAAGGUUUUCGGAUUGUAAACUUCUUUUAUUAAGGACGAAACUUGACGGUACUUAAUGAAUAAGCUCCGGCUAACUACGUGCCAGCAGCCGCGGUAAUACGUAGGGAGCAAGCGUUGUCCGGAUUUACUGGGUGUAAAGGGUGCGUAGGCGGCUUUGCAAGUCAGAUGUGAAAUCUAUGGGCUCAACCCAUAAACUGCAUUUGAAACUGUAGAGCUUGAGUGAAGUAGAGGCAGGCGGAAUUCCCCGUGUAGCGGUGAAAUGCGUAGAGAUGGGGAGGAACACCAGUGGCGAAGGCGGCCUGCUGGGCUUUAACUGACGCUGAGGCACGAAAGCGUGGGUAGCAAACAGGAUUAGAUACCCUGGUAGUCCAUGCUGUAAACGAUGAUUACUAGGUGUGGGGGGUCUGACCCCUUCCGUGCCGGAGUUAACACAAUAAGUAAUCCACCUGGGGAGUACGGCCGCAAGGUUGAAACUCAAAGGAAUUGACGGGGGCCCGCACAAGCAGUGGAGUAUGUGGUUUAAUUCGAAGCAACGCGAAGAACCUUACCAGGUCUUGACAUCCAACUAACGAAGUAGAGAUACAUUAGGUGCCCUUCGGGGAAAGUUGAGACAGGUGGUGCAUGGUUGUCGUCAGCUCGUGUCGUGAGAUGUUGGGUUAAGUCCCGCAACGAGCGCAACCCUUGCUAUUAGUUGCUACGCAAGAGCACUCUAAUAGGACUGCCGUUGACAAAACGGAGGAAGGUGGGGACGACGUCAAAUCAUCAUGCCCCUUAUGACCUGGGCUACACACGUACUACAAUGGAUGUUAACAGAGGGAAGCAAGACAGCGAUGUGGAGCAAACCCCUAAAAACAUUCUCAGUUCAGAUUGCAGGCUGCAACCCGCCUGCAUGAAGAUGGAAUUGCUAGUAAUCGCGGAUCAGCAUGCCGCGGUGAAUACGUUCCC